AACGGGUAGGAAUGCAUGGGUAACCUACCCUCGAGUGGGGAAUAACUAGCCGAAAGGUUAGCUAAUACCGCAUACGUUUCCGGGACCUCGGUUCCGGAAAGAAAGCAAUACCGUGGGUAUUGCGCUCAUGGAUGGGCUCAUGUCCUAUCAGCUUGUUGGUGAGGUAACGGCUCACCAAGGCUUCGACGGGUAGCUGUCUGAGAGGACGAUCAGCCACACUGGCACUGCGACACGGGCCAGACUCCUACGGGAGGCAGCAGUAAGGAAUAUUGCGCAAUGGACGAAAGUCUGACGCAGCGACGCCGCGUGGGGGAUGAAGGUCUUCGGAUUGUAAACCCCUUUCGGGAGGGAAGAGGAGUGGGUAACCACUUGGACGGACCUCCAGAACAGCCACGGCAA
Molecule: ribosomal RNA, 399 nt
Filed under: uncultured bacterium
Lineage: Bacteria
Description: bacterial SSU rRNA
Rfam family: Bacterial small subunit ribosomal RNA
Source: RNAcentral